Molecule: ribosomal RNA, 253 nt
Filed under: uncultured bacterium
Lineage: Bacteria
Description: partial 16S ribosomal RNA
Rfam family: Bacterial small subunit ribosomal RNA
Source: RNAcentral
UACGUAGGGGGCUAGCGUUGUCCGGAAUCAUUGGGCGUAAAGGGUGUGUAGGUGGCGCCGUAAGUCGGGUGUGAAAUUUCGGAGCUUAACUCCGAAACUGCAUUCGAUACUGCGGUGCUUGAGGACUGGAGAGGAGACUGGAAUUCAUGGUGUAGCAGUGAAAUGCGUAGAGAUCAUGAGGAAGACCAGUGGCGAAGGCGGGUCUCUGGACAGUUCCUGACACUGAGACACGAAGGCCAGGGGAGCAAACGGG